UAAUUUUCCCCGAUAGUUACUAUGGAAGCUAUAAGAUAUAGUUGUCCGAUCCGGCUGGUUCCCACUUAUAUGUUACCUGGAAUAGGAAGAAGACUUUUUGGAAAGUUUUAACUCGAUUACUUGAAAACUGGCUAGAUCGACUCACCUAGUGAUACAUUCUUUAUGGGGUCGGAAACGUCUCUUUCACUGCGUUGCAAACUUCUGAAUAAAAUCAUUAUAAUUCUGCAAGGGUGUAAAUAUCUAAUAAGAAUUUCUUCUUGUCAAAUUACGGUUGCAAGUAAUCAACAAAAUGCUUUUCAUACUGAACAGAACAGCUCAGCUUUAGCUCCUUCAGUUAACGGUCGUGUUAUUGUCUUGCACUCCGUAUGUUUGUAUUUAAAUUUCUUACAUUUAUAUAGCUUUUUAUGUCCCUAACAACAUCCGUGUGCUGUUUAAAUUAACAAAAUUAGAUUGCACGCCCAGUCACUGUGCAGUGUUUAUUGUUAUAGUGAUGGUAGUGCGAAUGGAUUUGUUGCACGGUUUGGCUGAAAGACAUUUCGAAGGUGUAAAGCAAAAGUACAAGCUCUGUCUUUGUUGCUUCUGGCCCAGCUGCCUGAAGAGUCUCUUAUGGGAAUUUAGAUUUUUAGUGAGAGAGUUUUCCUUGUUGGCAGGGCAGGGUUCGGAGCCGUGGCAGUAUCCACAAGCUACACAUACUGACCUGAAGCGCAAACAAACGAGAAAAUGAGUGUGAAAUCCAACUAAUUCAUUGAGAAAAACGGGACAGCAAAGUGCAAACUUUGCAACAAAGGAGUAAAAACCAGCGGCAAUACCAUGUUACCAUUCCGAGCUCAAGUCGCUCCUUCCUCACAAUCACAGCUCACUUCCUUUAUCAAGAGUCACUGAACUCAAUAUGUCUGAAAUCUACAAGGAUGGAGCAUUCUCAUACCAGUGAAUAUAUAGCCUCAUUGUUGAAAGAAGCUUGCUCAGAGUUUCAAAUAGAGCGAGCCAAGUGGACUACCCUCACUACCGACAGUGCAGAAAAUAUGAAAUGCGCUGCCAAACUUUUUCUGGGGCCUAGCAAACAUGUGCCGUGCUUCGCGCACUCCAUAAACUUGGUAGUAGAUGAUACUAUUAAAGAGAUUUAUUUAUUUACCAACAUUUUGGAUAAAAUAAAAAGAAUUGUCAUGCAUUUUAAGCACAGUACGUCUAUGAUGGACCAACUGCGAAAGGCUCAAGCCGAUGAGAGUACUCCGAAAGGAAAAAUAAGAACAUUGGUUCAAAUCGUAGACACCCGCUGGAAUUCAUAUGUAGACAUGGUGGAGUCCUUCUUAGGCUUAGCCACCAAAGUAGCAGUGAUAUUAAUUCAAAGAUCAGAACGAGUUAAGGGACUACCCGAAAUGCUCAAUGCCUUAGAGCUCAGCCAUUUAAACAAGCCACUGAGCAGAUUAGCGGUGAACAGUACGUCACCGUAAGCAUGGUGAUUCCACUUAUUUCGCUACUGGAAAACAACAUUAAAGAAUUAAAUAUGGAAACAGACGUGGGAAAGCGAACCAAGGAGGCUCUUUUAAGGAAUUCAGAAAAGAGGUUCCAGUCGUUAAAAAAAAUUUUAGUGAAAUCGUCAUUUUAAGACUCUAGGUUCAAAAAAAUGUAUUUGACACCGCUUUCUGUAAGGGAGGCCAUUCUCACAUAACCAUUGAAACCGAUAUAUUUACCCAAGAAAAAAGGAUUUCUGAUGACGAACAAAUAAAUAACUUCAAGGACUUUAAGAGCUUCCAUAACAAGUCCAUCGCAAAUGACAGUGACGAAUCGGAGAACAAGGAGCUAAAACUUUAUUUUAGCUUGCCCAAAGCUGCGUGGGAAAGCAAUCCCCUGGAAAUAUGGAAAUCGCACAAAGCGACUAUGCCGGGCCUGUACAAGCUGGCCAUGAAGUAUUUAAUCACCCCGGGAAGUUCGGUGCCCUCAGAGCGGCUGGCGUCCGCCAUUAAAUGUGUGGUGUGUGACUCAAGGAGCAGGAUGACGGACGCACACAUUACCCAAAGAGUAUUCCUAAAAUCCCUAAAAACGGCAAACUGGUCUUAAGAACUAUUUAAUAAUACUGUUAUUUUU
Molecule: RNA transcript, 2085 nt
Organism: Drosophila biarmipes
Lineage: Eukaryota; Metazoa; Arthropoda; Insecta; Diptera; Drosophilidae
Exons: 4
Source: RefSeq, a predicted model, not a curated record